Molecule: long non-coding RNA, 669 nt
Filed under: Capsicum annuum
Lineage: Eukaryota; Viridiplantae; Streptophyta; Magnoliopsida; Solanales; Solanaceae
Description: long non-coding RNA (CANN_LNC008523)
Source: RNAcentral
AAAAUUAUGAUCUGCUAGCAGCCUCUAAGUCAUUCUCAAUCCCAGGGGGCCAGUCAGAAGUUUCCGAUUCCUAUUUAGAUAGUGUUGAAAGGCCUUCCUUUAUAGAUUCUUCUGUCUAUUGAGUUCCCAUCCAGUCAGCGACUGACUAAGAUUCAGUCUCAAGCUCGAUAUGAAAUGCUACUUUUAAUAAAUGGGCUAGCUAGGACAGUAAAGACUUUGAUCUUGAUACUAGCCCCAUUGAUACAGAAAAGUCGAAGAUUUCUCUGUCUAUAGACUGAGACGCCCUUACAGUAGAAAGCAAGUCAGACUGAGUUAGGUUGUGUUCGAUCACAAAAGGUUAAACUAAGAAUGUAUGCCUGAGAUUGGGAGUAUAGUGUAGCCUAGGCUUCUUGCAUACUUCAAUUCUUCGACCUACAGGAGGGGACUCAGACUUUCGAUCUCUUCUCUCGAUAAAUAAAUCUAUUGAGAAAUGGAUAUUGAUCUGGUUUCAAGAUCUAUGAACAAGAGAGAUCCCUAAAUAUCCAUUUAGAAAAUAGAUGAAUAGAUAGGUCGUGUUAGCACCCCCUAUUUCACUAAAGCAAGAAGGGUCGGAGGAGCAACUAGUCAAACUUCUUGAGUAGCCGAGAUAUUGAACAACGAACAUUUGAAACAAUUUCUUGCCUCACCUUG